GAUGAACGCUGGCGGCGUGCCUAAUACAUGCAAGUCGAGCGAACGGACGAGAAGCUUGCCUCUCUGAUGUUAGCGGCGGACGGGUGAGUAACACGUGGAUAACCUACCUAUAAGACUGGGAUAACUUCGGGAAACCGGAGCUAAUACCGGAUAAUAUUUUGAACCGCAUGGUUCAAAAGUGAAAGACGGUCUUGCUGUCACUUAUAGAUGGAUCCGCGCUGCAUUAGCUAGUUGGUAAGGUAACGGCUUACCAAGGCAACGAUGCAUAGCCGACCUGAGAGGGUGAUCGGCCACACUGGAACUGAGACACGGUCCAGACUCCUACGGGAGGCAGCAGUAGGGAAUCUUCCGCAAAGGGCGAAAGCCUGACGGAGCAACGCCGCGUGAGUGAUGAAGGUCUUCGGAUAGUAAAACUCUGUUAUUAGGGAAGAACAUAUGUGUAAGUAACUGUGCACAUCUUGACGGUACCUAAUCAGAAAGCCACGGCUAACUACGUG
Molecule: ribosomal RNA, 497 nt
Filed under: uncultured bacterium
Lineage: Bacteria
Description: partial 16S ribosomal RNA
Rfam family: Bacterial small subunit ribosomal RNA
Source: RNAcentral